This 4900-nucleotide long non-coding RNA is filed under the name Homo sapiens (human). RNAcentral's name for it is "HSALNT0043539". Lineage: Eukaryota; Metazoa; Chordata; Mammalia; Primates; Hominidae. The record is from RNAcentral.
CAGCUGACGAAGGCGCCGUCGCCGUUGCCCAGAGGGAAGGCGGGCUGCAGAGCCACGGGCCGGGCGUCGGAGCGGCAGAACUUGGGUGCCAAGCUGAGCACGUCGCCGCCGACCCCGCCGCUGCUGCUGCAUGACACGUACUCCACAAGUUAGCCAAAGCAGCCCAGGGCCGCCGCCCAGCGCCCCCGAGCCCCGAGGAGAGCCGUCGCGACCGGGGGCUGCCUGGGCAAGGGCGGGGCGAGAGGGCAGAACGCCUGCUCUCGGACAAAAUGGGAGCGUGACGCGCGGCCGGUGGAGACUGCUCUUCGCCCACCUCCAGGACAGAUAAAGUUAUUCCUCUUCCCCUCUUCUGAGUCCUCUGCGCUUUCGGUUUGCUUGGCGCUGAUGUUAUCCCUCUUCUAAACCUAGAGCAGAUGUUUGGUUUUUUCCUUUCUUCCCCCUUUCCUAGGACUCAUGGAACUACAUCUUAUGCGGGUGUUCUUAAAAUACACCGGAAAGAACGGAGGUAAAAAUACUGGAGUGUUUCCUCCACACUGGAAAGAUGUGCCGCGCGCCCGCCAGACCGCCCAGGAGGCGGCGGCUAUUGUUCCCCGCAGGGGCCCGGGGCGCCCUGAAACGGGGUCCACGUCAGCCCGCUCCCGAGCGUGUCCUCAGGUCUAAGGACGGGUGGGGCUUCCUUUGUGUGUUCUCUGGAAGGGGCUGGGAUGGCGUCGUUGCUGCCCCAAGGGGUAACCGAGGGGGAUUGAGGGAAGAUGGUACCAGCUCCCUAGAGCUCAGCUCACCAGACCUACUCUUCCGCUCGACCCUUGCAGAGGAGGUGGGGACGGAUAUGGUAUUUGUAGGGCAGCGCUGUGAACAAUGGAGCCAUCAAAAAGGCCUUCUCCCAGCCUCCUCACCAACCACGGACAUUCCUGGCCCAACAAGACCUCCUGGCCAGGUUUUGAGCCCUGCUUCCCAGCUAUAGGAACCAAUCAGGACAUUUUGCCCAAGAUCUAGGACAGAAAGACUCAUGCAGUAACUCCUGCCUUACAGAUCUGGGGACCCUUCACCUGCCUCUACUACUGCAAAUGAUUGGAUAUUCGUCUGACUUGGCUCUUCCCUAAUGUGUGGAACUAAUUUUGUUCACUCUGUUUCAUGCUGGACCUGGCCUGAAAAUGGGCCCUUAUAUUGUCUUUGCACUUUCCAACUUGCCAAAUCUAAGAACCAGCCCUCAAAGAUGUUUCUGAAAGAAGGACCAAAGUAAUGCCAAGAACUCCCAGAUGAAGAGGACCUUCCUUAGACCUAUAACAGAUUCACUACUUGACUUCAGAGGGAAGUUUCAGCUAAUUCUCAGGAAAAGGUCAAAACAGGCCUGUGACUGUCCCUUGAAUACUGAAGGUAUAAACAAGCUUCUGGCUCCUCCAGGUCAAGCAGAGGAACACUUUUAUUAGAAUGAAGGGUUACUUCUUUGUUAUUCAAACACACACCCACACACAUCCUCUGUAGUCUCCCUAAUGAAAAACCUCAACAGAUGGAGAGCCUGAGCUCCCAAGUCCGCAGGCUGAGAAGAUGCACUUCACUCAAGGGCCAGUGGGCUGGUACAGACUAGGGAAGAGAAAAGGGACAAAGGCUGCUAGUAUAGGUAAUCACUAUCUUUUAAUACUCCUAACACAUAGAAAUUCGAAAAAUCUUGUUCAGCAAUGUUAGCAGCCUGUGAGCCUCGGAAACUAAUUUGGCUGAUGUGUCUCUGAUAGGGAGCUUGGGGCUGCACCAAGGGGAAACAUUCUCCUCCUGUAUUCUCUCCUCUCUCUCGUUUGAAAGCCUGUACAAAGAAAUGGUACAAAUGGAUGGUUAACUUAAUGAUUCCAUCAGAGGCAGAUUUUUCUCUGUCAGGUCCCUGGAUAAGGUGGAGGUCUGAAAGCCAGGAGACAGAAUAUGUACUUAAUCGCCCUUUCUGACCUGCUUACCAGUGACCAGGACUACUCUCCAGGCCUUUCUUCUGCCACUUCCCCAUUCUUCCUGGCUAGUUCAGUUGGGUCUCAGCACUUCAACUCCUGGCUGGAUCCUGAGUUUUUCUUGGUUGCAGGGAAAGCUCUCACUGUCUGCAUCUCCUUCCCCACCCCCACCUCCCGUUUUGCAGCUGGCCAUUCUGGCUGCCUCACAGCUAUCCUGCCUUAAUUCAUAUUUGAUUGCCUGGACAGAACCACCUAGAAUGUCCAGACGACUGCCACCCCUCAGCCAUGGGCCUGAGAUCCUGCCCUGACCCCUUUCUUCAGACCCCAGGAGGACCCACAAUCUCCCUGAUCCCCACCUUCCCCAAAGUAGUCUCUAGGAAAAAAGCAGAGCUGGCUAAGGCCUGAGACAGAGCCAUUUCUUCCCCUUGGGCAAACGAGGUAGACCCUCCCAGAGACCAAUGCCGGAGAGGCCCGGAUCCGAGCUCCCUUUAUAUGGCCUCCCCCAUCACGGAUCCCGUGGGAAAACCUGACACACAAUGGCGCGGCUGCUCCGGGCACCCUCAACCCAGCGCCCUGCGGCAAGGCCUGGAGCAGCCUGGUGGUCUUGGUGCGCUCCCUUUGCCCUCCCCGCAACCCUCUGCGAGCACUCGUCCCAGGAGAGAGACCCUGGCUAGGGUGGAGGUUGCCUCCCGCAAAGGGCGCUGUUGCUGGGGCCUCCCCUCCCCCAUUCUCUUGUUUUUCUGCUUCUGAGACUCGGGAGGGAGGCGGCAGGCGCCUCCGCAGCCGAUAGAGCAGCUAUUGUGACCUUCCCUUGCAGAGCGGGAACCCAGCCGAGUGUGUACCGCCGGCGGUGGCGGGGGAGGAGGCGACUGUGUGUGCAAACCUCAGUCGGAGAGGGGGUGGCGCUGGGAAAUAAAGGUUUGCAACCUCAGGCAGUUGGGCCCUUCAGAGGGCGUUUGGUUGUGUUUAGACUCGGUUGCUUUCUAACACUAAUUGCAGGCUCAAAAGGAGCGGAAUUUAUUGCGAAGGCCAAGGCGGCUUGUUUAUAAUUUAUGAAGUUUUAAAUGGCUGUGCCGCGGGCCCCAACUUUCUCCUGGGCUGGCAGCCGCGCGGAAACGCGCCCUCCCCCGGCUCGCCGCCCACCCCCACCCACGCCCCUCAGAUGAGUCUCACGCCAAUGGCAGGAACAGAUCCGAGCUAUUAGAAGUCUCGGGAACCUCCAGAGAUGACAGAAGGUGGCAGAUUUGGUCCAAGCCCUCACCCCACUCGAGAGGAGGGCGUCGGGGAAAGCUGUGGCUGCCUGGAGAGGGAGCCCCUGAUCCCACACUUCCUUGGAGCCUGAGUGUGAGAGGAAGCUAAUGUCAGCCGGGCUAGACACCGUUUAAAGUCUAAUCCAUGAAACCCUAAGCCGCAAAUGACACUUGGGGCUUUGCAGACACCCGCAGACUCAGCAGAUACUCCUGCGGUAACACACUGUGCUGGAAAACGCCUGGAGCCAUGACACAUUACGUAUUUUUAUUAUUAUUUAUGGUAGGAAGAGGAGAUGAGGGAAAAUCGGGCUGAAUCUAAGCAGCCUGACAAUUCAGCUAGUUAAUAUUUAGCCAGUUAAGAAAGGUGGUUGUAAUCCCUGCAAGGCAGUGAGCUCUCCUUUGAUUUCUCUAAUAGCUUAAAAAAUAAUUUCUUACAAGACAAUUAGAAAUUCUGCCUAUGGAUGCAAAUUUCAUAGAAAACAAUGUUAAGCCUUGAAAGUGGGUAAAAUGUGCCUUCGAUUGAAGUCAUUUAUUCUGUUGAUACACUUCUACAACAUAUAUAUUUUAAACCUGCUCAGAUAAAGUGAAAUUUAGCAAAAGGAUAUCCCCUCCCACCCCCAAAUCUAACAUGCCAUUUUAAAAACAGCACAAAGGAACAAGGAAACUAAAUAUUAUUUUGAGCCAUCAUUACUUAGUGAAAUACAAACAUCCAAAUAGAAACGAUUGUUGUUCCACCAGAAGAUUAGAAGUUAAAUUAUUUCCACACAAUAGGAAUUUCACUUCGUGUCAUCGGGGAUGUAGUAGGAGUUGCAUUAUUUGUCAAACCAAAUAGAGAUGCGUGGGCUGACUUUGCUGAAAUACAAAAGAAUUGAACCUUAUCUGAAGGCGUUUUCUAAGUGGCCCCUCCCAUAGAAGCCGGGAAGUUGUCCACCCCUAGCAGAAGCCACAUUAAUAUUUACAAAAUGGUUAUAAAUCCUUGAAGACAUUUUUGCCCAUUUUGUAUAAGAAACAGGAGUAAACAAGGUGUUUAUACUUGUUAUGUUUCAUUAAUGAAAUAUUAUUACUUUACAUCUUGGGGAAUGUUUGUUUUCUUUAGAAAUGAACUAAUGAUCACUACAAAGGAAGAAUUCAUGACAGCAUUUCCUAGAGAAAAAGCUUAGGUACGCGUCUCCAAAUGAUGGUUUCUUUUUCUACACCUUAGCUUUUUCAUAGCUCAAUUCUUCUUACAACUUCUCUUGUGUUUUUUCUUUGAUUGUCAGUUUUCUUUCAAAGUUUAUUUUUUGUUACUUAAUGCAGAAAAGUGAGCUCUGGUCUCCCCAGUGUAAAAGUCGAUUGUGUCUAGAAAGAAGGCAGUAAAAACAGCAAAGCAGGCGCUGCUUUCAAAAAGCCCUGCCCAAAUCAUCCCGCCCAGAACCUUCUUAGGUUUGCAUCCUCAUUUCCCCCUCCCCUAAUUUCAAUAGCUGGAAAGUAAUCAAGUAUCCCGAGAACCAAUUUAUGCACUAGACUCCAAAUAAAUAAAAUAUUUUUUUCAAAUGCCCAUAUAAGGAAGCACUCUCUAUUAAUAGCUAUAAGACCUGUCCAGCAACAGCACCAGCAGCCUGGAAUGGAAGGGAGCACCCUGUCACUGCAAGGUCAUGACCCCAAUCAGGAACACUAAAAAAAAGAACAUUUUGAGAUACCACUGGAAAUGGGCAAAGAGAUCUAGAAUUUGAAAUG